GCCAGUGUGAUAUACUGGUUUGAGUGUUGGACUAUGACUCUGAAGAACAAGGUUCAAUUCCUUGCUUGGCCA
Non-coding RNA from Phrynosoma platyrhinos (Desert horned lizard), 72 nucleotides. The record is from the annotation of a GenBank genome assembly. Lineage: Eukaryota; Metazoa; Chordata; Lepidosauria; Squamata; Phrynosomatidae.